RNAcentral lists this long non-coding RNA (129 nucleotides) under Anolis carolinensis (green anole). RNAcentral describes it as "lncRNA (ENSACAG00000038948.1)". The record is from RNAcentral. Lineage: Eukaryota; Metazoa; Chordata; Lepidosauria; Squamata; Anolidae.
GUUCCUCCCCAUAAAAGAGUUGCUAAGGAGGCUUCCUGUAUGUGGAUUUGGGGUUGUGUUCCUCCCCAUAAAAGAGUUGCUAAGGAGGCUUCCUGUGUGUGGAUUUGGGGUUGUGUUCCUUCCCAUAAA